UACAGAGGGUGCGAGCGUUAAUCGGAAUUACUGGGCGUAAAGCGUGCGUAGACGGUCAAGUAAGUCGGGUGUGAAAGCCCCGGGCUCAACCUGGGAAUUGCAUUCGAGACUGCGUGGCUAGGGUGCGGAAGAGGGAAGCGGAAUUUCCGGUGUAGCGGUGAAAUGCGUAGAUAUCGGAAGGAACACCAGUGGCGAAGGCGGCUUUCUGGUCCGAAACUGACGCUGAGAUGCGAAAGCCAGGGGAGCAAACGGG
RNAcentral lists this ribosomal RNA (253 nucleotides) under uncultured bacterium. Its description in RNAcentral is "partial 16S ribosomal RNA". It matches the Rfam family "Bacterial small subunit ribosomal RNA", at positions 524 to 776 of the family's 1533-position model. The record is from RNAcentral.